Molecule: ribosomal RNA, 515 nt
Filed under: uncultured bacterium
Lineage: Bacteria
Description: partial 16S ribosomal RNA
Rfam family: Bacterial small subunit ribosomal RNA
Source: RNAcentral
GAUGAACGCUGGCGGCGUGCCUAAUACAUGCAAGUCGAGCGAAUGGAUUAAGAGCUUGCUCUUAUGAAGUUAGCGGCGGACGGGUGAGUAACACGUGAGUAACCUGCCCAUAAGACUGGGAUAACUCCGGGAAACCGGGGCUAAUACCGGAUAAUAUUUUGAACUGCAUGGUUCAAAAUUGAAAGGCGGCUUCGGCUGUCACUUAUGGAUGGACACGCGUCGCAUUAGCUAGUUGGUGAGGUAACGGCUCACCAAGGCAACGAUGCGUCGCCGACCUGAGAGGGUGAUCGGCCACACUGGGACUGAGACACGGCCCAGACUCCUACGGGAGGCAGCAGUAGGGAAUCUUCCGCAAUGGACGAAAGUCUGACGGAGCAACGCCGCGUGAGUGAUGAAGGCUUUCGGGUCGUAAAACUCUGUUGUUAGGGAAGAACAAGUGCUAGUUGAAUAAGCUGGCACCUUGACGGUACCUAACCAGAAAGCCACGGCUAACUACGUGCCAGCCGCCGCCGUAA